ACAGGGCUGAAGGACUACACUUCUAGCCCCAGCAUACACUGGGCUCAGGGACAGCGCAUGUCACUGGAGGAAGAGGGAGGGCUGUGCGCUUCUCACUAUGCUUUUUUGGGAGAUGCAGUCUCAUUAACACUCCUAGCCCUUUGGUCAUAGAGCGCCAGGACUGCAAUCGCAGCAUGCACCCAGCUCAGGGACAGUGCGCUAGUCACUGCAGGAAGAGGCAGGGCUGUGUGCAACUCCUGGGAGUACUGGGAGAUGUAUUCUCAUAAACACUCCCAGCCCUUUGGUCGCAGAGCUUCAGGACUACAAUCUUAGCAUGCACCUGUCUCAGGGACAAUGAGUGUCACUGGAGGAAGAGGUGGGGCUGUGUGCGCCUCCCUAGGAUUGCUGGGAGACGUAUUCUCAUAAACACUCCCAGCCUUUUGGUCAAAGGGCUACAGGACUACAAUCCCAGCAUGCGCCAGUCUCCGGGCACAAAUGUCACCAUAAGAUGGAGCCUCGGGAAUCCAGUGGAAACUAUUUCAGAAAACCUCAAUGGAUCACCGACAAGCAGCAGAGGGCCUCAAUAGACUUCAACAACGUCUGGACUCCACGGCCACUAUAGUCCGACAAAACUAAAGAACCUGGGAUCUUCUCCCAGCCAGGCAAAGAGGAACAUGUUUAUAUCUAAAAGAAGAAUGCUGUUUUUGAGAUCAAUCAGUCUGGUUUAGUCCAGGAAAAUAUUAAAAAUAUCAUCACCCAGGCAGGCAAAACUGAAUCCCUAGGAACUUCCAUGGGAACAUGAAAGCGAUGUCCAUUGUCUGCCUUGCUCUCUUUAAUAGUAUCAGCCAUUAUUAUACUUUCAGCUUUUACUUUUGUUCCCAUUUUGUUUAAAAUGUUAACUGAUUUCUUGCUUUCUUGCUUACAGCAACUCCAUGUUUGCAUGAUGGUUUUGCAAGGCUUUCAACCUUUGGUUGCCAACAUCUUGCCCACUGGUUCCACGAACGACAUGGUUUACACCCUGUUAGAUCACACAGGAAGAAACUUUAAGGCCCAGGCUAGGCAGAAGUAACACCCACUCAGCAGGAAACAGCUCCAGAAAAAAUGGCCUAACCCCUCAACCUCCAAUGUGAUUAUUGCCCUAAAAUCUCUUAGGGGGAAAUUGAGGGAGAAUAGAUAGUCCAGAAAAUGACCAUGAUCUUGGGAUAUAGAAACCGUGGUGACUGUACAGCCAACACAAUAAGCCUUAGCAUUCGCAUUGUAAUUGGGCUUAUUCAAGCAAAGCUAUCCUCAUUAAGGACUUUCUGUUCUAGAGAGCACGUGCAUUUUGAUUUUACCUGUCCUCAAACUUAACAUUUGCUUAUUUUAAUAGCAAAAAAUACACCGCCUAGCCAGGCAUGGUGGCUUAUACCUGUACUCCCAGCACUUUGGGAGGCUGAGGAAGAUGAAUCACUUCAAACCAGAAGCUCGAGACUAGACUGGCCAACAUAGUGAAACCCUGUCUCAACUAAAAAUACAAAAAUUAGCGGGGUAUGGUAGUGCAUGCCUGUAAUCCCAGCUACUCAGGAGGCCGAGGCACGAGCAUGGCUUGAACUCAGGAGGCGGAAAUUGCAGCAAGCAGAGAUCACACCACUGCACUCCAGCCUGGGCAACACGGCGAGACUCUGUCUCAAACAAACAAACAAACAAACAGAAAUACACUCCUGGGUGGAGAUCUAAGAUGCUAAUAACCAUGCAACAUAUGAACAAGCAUGUACAGCUACAGCGCAUGUGCACCCAGAAUACCACAGAGAACAUGCUUACUAGCAACUCCUCUUCCCUCCUCCUUAUUAAUAAUAAUGUAAAACUCCCAUAAGGGGGUUUUUCCAGCGACAAUCCACGCUGUCUCACUCUUAUGAGCAGCCGCCCUGGAGUAUUUCUCUCAGGGUGUACUGUAUUCUGCACUUAACUUUCAAAUAUGUUAUUUUCCAAUAAAUUAUGCUGUACUUUUU
Gorilla gorilla gorilla (western lowland gorilla) is the source of this 1967-nucleotide long non-coding RNA. RefSeq lists it as uncharacterized. The transcript is spliced from 2 exons. The record is from RefSeq and is a predicted model, not a curated record. Lineage: Eukaryota; Metazoa; Chordata; Mammalia; Primates; Hominidae.